Non-coding RNA from Labrus bergylta (ballan wrasse), 1034 nucleotides. The record is from RefSeq and is a predicted model, not a curated record. NCBI's taxonomy places the organism in Eukaryota, Metazoa, Chordata, Actinopteri, Labriformes, Labridae.
GCUGCCUUUGAAAUGUGUCUUAGUCUGAUUUAAUCAUGAAGUAAGUUUGUUUUCUUUUCGUCUGGGUAAGGACACUCUGAGUCUUUAGGACCUUCACUUGUGGUUCGUGAUUCACUGUUGGCCCGAUCUGGCCGUUCAUGACUUUAAACUCACCAGAGUGCGACUCAGUCUCCAUGGUGACCCAAGACAAAAGCGGCAUGAGCAUGAGUACACUGACUACACAAGACGACUGUCAGAUCAACUCACUGCAAAUACGAUUUCUGCCCUCGAUGGCUGUUUGUUACUCUGUGGACAUGUCUUCAGUCUCCUGUCUCAUCCAGACAAAAAUAAACAUGGUAAACAAUCAACAUUUAUUACAGUGGUAAAUGGAUCUUGCAUGCAUUAAAUGUAAAGAUUUCUUCACAUUUAAGUAACAUAUUUAACUCCUGAUUUUGCACAUAAAGACGCCAUAGUGCCAACAUGCUCAUCCUCAGUUGGCUCAAAACAUCACUUAAUACAUCCUUCAAACUGGAGCUUCUUGUUGUGCAGAUCUUGUUUUUACUUCCCUUGCCUGCUCAAUACUUAAGAAUGUGAUAAAAGUUUUAACAUACUAAGCGGUUUUUGUUUUUCUAUUGUUUUUUUGUUUCUCAACAAUAGUUGACAAGAGCAGGGCGGCUGUGGCUCAAUUGGUAGAGUCGGUUCAAUCCCCAGCUGGCCAAAUGUCCGAUGUGUCCUUGGCCAAGAAACUUAACCGCAAAUCGCUCCCGCUACUUCAUGGUGGGAAUUAAAUAGGAUUAGUUACUUCUGAUGGAUGAUGCUACAUAGCGAUCAUCACUACCAUGUGUGGUCUAGGUGGGUGUGACAUGCGGUGUAAAAGCACUUUGAGUAGUUGGAAGACUAGAAAAGCACUAUAUAAGCUCAAGUCCAUUUACCAUUUAGCCUGUUUCUUCUGUCAUCGUCAGAUGCUUCACAGAGGGUUUGCCUGAGAACAGGUACUUUACUUUAUUUGGAUGCAUUUUGUUUCUUCCAUUUUUAAAUAUUUUUUAUUAACAUUU